Non-coding RNA from Paramuricea clavata, 6635 nucleotides. Lineage: Eukaryota; Metazoa; Cnidaria; Anthozoa; Malacalcyonacea; Plexauridae. The record is from the annotation of a GenBank genome assembly.
AGUGGCAAAGAGCGGUUAUUCAUUUGGCAGCUGUCGGUGGAGUUGCUGACACCGUGAAGUAUUCGAUGAAAUAUGAUGCACACCUGAAUGCCAGGGAUAAGGUGAGGAUAGAUAUGUGAGUUUGACUAAUGGUCGCGUGUCGCGGGUAAAAAGUCGCGUGUAGAAUGUCGCGGGUCGCGGGUGAAAUGUCGCGGGUAAAAAGUCGCGGGUCGUAAAAAAGCUCCAAACCAUGUAUUUUAUUGAGUCGCGGGUUGAAUAAAGUGUGUAAAAAUCACGUUAUCAUUUAGUAAACAACUAUAGGAUUGCUUCAAUACGAAAUAUUUCAAUACGAAAUAUUUCCCAAGAGCCUUUUGUCUUGAUUUAAUAAGUUUGACUAAUGGUCGCGUGUCGCGGAUAAAAAGUCGCGUGUCGCGGGUAGAAUGUCGCGGAUAAAAUGUCGCGGGUAAAAAGUCACGGGUCGUAAAAGAGCUCCAAACCGUGUAUUUUAUUGAGUCCCGGGUUGAAUAAAGUGUGUAAAAUCACGUUAUCAUUUAGUAAACAACUAUAUAAGAUUGCUUCAAUACGAAAUGUUGCCCAAGAGCCUUUUGUCAUGAUUUAAUGGUUCUAUAUAAACGUGCCAGAAGCCUAAAACUUGAAAGAAUAAUUUCAAUAUGUUAAACCAACAAUUGUACCAUGACAAAAAUCCUCUAAUAAAAACAUAUGUUCUGAAAGAAACAAACUAGACUUUGGUAGAAAUAAAUUCAGUUUACCACUACUAUUACAAUCAGUUUUAUACCAAUUUAAAAACAACCAUAUAGUAUCACAAAUAAUAGAUAUAUCCAUGCUAGGACAUUAUAAAAGUACAUUAUGAUUCACCAACAACCCGGAUAUUUAAGUCGCUGUUCUCUAGCACUUGUUUCUGGAAUGUACUGAUCGAUGCGCAGAGACUUGACGAAUAGCGGAUUUUUACGCCUGAUAUGGUAGAAAUUGGAUGGUAAUAUGUAUUACUAAAAUCAGGACUAUAAACAUAGGAAUGUGUAACAGGAUCCUUUUGCAUUACAGUCUAUCAACGUGCUUUACAAUAAUGUUAUAUGGUUCUUGUCUAUAUUUAUCUAGAAACUCGCAAUUACAGCCAUAACUUCUUCGAACAACUAUUGAUAAAACCAUGACUAAAUGUUAAUAUGAUUUUUACACACUUUAUUCAACGCGCGACUCAAUAAAAUACACUGUUUAGAACUUUUUACGAUCCGCGACUUUUUACCCGCGACCCGCGACAUUUUACCCGCGACAUUUUACCCGCGACCCGCGACAUUUUACCCGCGACCCGCGACUUUUUACCCGCGACUUUUUACCCGCGACUUUUUACCCGCGACACGCGACCCGCGACCAUUAGUCAAACUCUAGAUAUGUAUGUAUGUUGGCCCCUUGUAUAGACUUGCUCUAUGUGUAUGCAUGUCAUCCCACUGAAUUUCAUGCAACAUAACGUACAGUAGACAGGCAAUAGGAUAGAUAUAUGUACGUUUGUCAGAUGUAGUCUAUCAUUACAUCCGUGUCACCUGUAUUGCACCCAACAACAUGACUGAUCUAUGUACAUAAUGGAACCAUAUAUUAACACGGUCAAGAGUUUUUAAAGCCAUAAAAAUUUACUCGUGGUAACGGGGUGAUGGUAUUAACACAGGCUUGGGCAUAUAAAGGUGCGUGGAUACUUGUAUGCAUGCCUCAUAUUAACUUUAUGCACGCAAUUAAAUAAACCGUAAAAAAUUAUGCAGUUGAAAAUUAGCAAAUAUUGAAGGUGCGUGUAUUAAGUGUUUCCAUUAACAUGUUCUGACAUGCUUACUUGUUACUACAAAAUGGCAAUUAAAAUAAAGCCUAUCAAGUCUUUUAUAGUUGUAACAUUUUGUUUUAGGACGGUAAAACGGUACUUGAAUUGGCAACCGACGCAGGACAUACUAUAGUCGUGGAAUUAUUACAGACCUGGGAUAAGGUAAGGAUAGAUAUGUAUGUUGAUCCCAUUUAUAGACUUGGUCUAUGUGUGUGUCAUUCCACUGAAUUUCACCCAACAUAAUGUAGAUAGGACAAUAGGAUAGAUAUAUAUUCACGUUUGUCAAUAAUUACAUUUGAUUCACCUGUAUUGCCCCCAACAUGCAUGACUGAUAUAUGUAGCCUACAUAGUGGACCCUAGCUAUAUUAAGAGGGCGUCUCUGUAAGAGCGGACCACUGGAUCUGGGCUUCAAAAAUAGAUUUCUCUUAUACUUUUACCGUCGAUACUCUCAUCUAUCCUAACUACGAAACCGGAGUUAAGAUCGUUCUAACGUGGUUUUUACAACCGCUAUGCGAGUUUUUGUCCCAGGACCCAAGUUAAUUAAAAUAUGCCAGUUUCUGGAAUAGCCGGAGCCUACAAUCACAGUCCGCUUUCUCAAUUUUCUCUGCGAAUCAGAGCUUCGUUUUCAGGUCUGAGCUGCACUAGAGUGCUCUUUCUACUAAGAAAUAGUAAUAUAUAGCUGUUUAGUUGCACCUGGCAAAUAAAAAAAAAAUACUAAUCGAGACCCUUCAACGCAUGAUAUCAAAUUCGAGAAUUAUAGGCCCUAAAACAUUGCAGAAUUCUCAUUUGUGGCACCUGCGCCCAGGUUCUAAAUCGCUUUUUAACUUUGAAGUAGGAUGCUAUUCCAUACAUCUACACAAUAAAAUUUGCGGCACAUGGUAUUUCUAAGAAUUCAGGAAGUUGACAAUUUUUGCAUUUUUUAGCUAUAUUUCUGCGUGUGCAUGACACAAGAAUCCAAUAUUAAAGCUGUUGUUUUGUUUUGUUUAUUAGCCUCGCUAUUAUUGCCGAAAAAUCAACAGCACGUUGAAGACCUAUUCCUAAAUGUCCUUUGUCUGAUUCGUAUUUGAUGGCAAAUAAAUCCUGUUAAGCAGUCAAAAUGACAAAUUAUAGCCCAACAAAGACAGAAAUACAAAGACAGCGAUGCACAGGAACAAUUGUCAUGGCAUAUAAACUCGAUAAAAGAACCAUGCUUUUAUAAGAACAGAAUAAACCAGACACAGUACUAAAAUGCGGUGCUUUACAAAUAAAACUUUCCGGCGUUUCCGCCUACGAGCUGUGCUACAAGCAAAGGAUAUAUUUUGUAGUACGCUACAUUCCUACUGUUGGCUGGCAGUUGUUCCCACGCUUGGUUAUAACUUCGCUUUAAAACCUUGAAAAUAAACUAUUGUCUGAUCAAAAUACUAUCAAGAUUAAGAGAAAAGUGAGACGAAUCCAUUCGUAUACGGCCGAAAAAGAGAAAACAAACGACAGGAAAGUUAUCAAGGAUCAAACCUACUGCAUUUUUAAUUAGUUCUAAUAAUUUUGAGCGAUUUGUCACUUGUCAACAAUACAACUUCGCUUGACUUUCAAAGGCUAUAAAUCGCUAGACUACUGCUAUUUAGUAAUGAAUUUGGCAUCCGUAAGUACAAUUUCGUACGCUGAUUCGAACAACGGUAUUUUUUCCUCGUUGAGACACUUGGGUGCUCAUACCAGACCGUCUGCCGUGGUAGCUGUGAUAAACUUGGCACAGAGCGAAGGACACCGCAAUUUUGCAAAAGGGUACUACAGGGUGUAUAAAAUGAAAAACUGAACAGAUAUGAAUGUGCUUAGCUCUCAAUUUCGCAUAUAUGGGUACUUGUAAUAUAGAAAAAAAUUUCCCGAACCUAAAUUUUGUGAACCGGGGAUGUCUUUUCAAACAAACAAAAAGCUGGCUUGUGCAUAAAAUUUAAAAGCUUUAAUCAUAUUUUGAGUUAAUAGAUGGAACAUUUGUUGGGUUUUUAAUUACUGUACAAAAUUGCAGACAAUUUGCAUUAGUCUAAGCCCUUUAACUAUUCACGCAAACUUACAUGUCUUUGCCUAAUUUGCAUAUGUCAGCAAUAUGCAAAUUAGGUAAUGCGAAAGGCUGAUUUUUUAGGGAAAAAUGAAUAGUUAAAGCCUUAACCUAAAGCAAAUUGUCUGACAUUUUGCACAUUAUUUAAAAACCUAACACGCAGAGAAAAUAGAGAAAGCGGACUAUGAGUGUAGGCUUCGGCGAUUUCAGAAACUGGCAUAUUUUAAUUAACUUGGGUCCUGGGACAAAAACUCGCAUAACGGUUGUGAAAACCACGUUAGAACGAUCUUAACUCCUGUUUUGUAGUUAGGAUAGAUGAGAGUAUCGACGGUAGAAAUAUAAGAGAAAUCUAUUUUUGAAGCCUAGAUCCAGUGGUCCGCUCUUACAGAGACGCCCUCUUAAUACUUUCGUGACGACUAACGCUUGUCUUAGAGGACGCGCAGUGUUUCAAUUCUAUUUCAGAACCAUCCUCAGAGAUACGAAAAACCAGUUUCAUAUUAUUCAGUUUCAUAUUAUUAUUUCAUAGAAUAAUAUGAAACUGGUUUUUCGUAUCUCUGAGGGUGGUUCUAUAUUAAUACGAUCAAGAAUUUAGGGCCAUUAAAAUUUACUCUUGGUAACAGGGUGAUGGUAUUAACACAAGCCUGGCCACAUGAAAGCCACAUGAUGUACUUAUAUGCUUGCGUCAUUUUAGCUUCAUGCACGCAAUUGCAAAACAGUAAAGAAUUAUAACUGAAGAGACCAGCUAGAUUAACACAACCAAAACUGUGUAUUGGAAAUGGGUAUAGGGCUUUCCAAUAUAUUUCAAAAUUUUUGCUGCCAUAUGAAUGUUUGUGUAUAGUAUAACUCAAAACUAUAUACAGCUUACAAGCUAGUGAAUUGUGUGAGAUAACCAUUGUUUCUUGUAUAUAAUCUCCGUAUAUGGAGAACUUUUUUCUUUCACAAUAAUUAUAAUAUGACUGCAUGCUAUCAAACUCUCCUCCACUUCCACUUUACUGUUUUGCAAUGUCGCACAGUGGCACUAAAUUAUCUCGUAGAUUAUUUUACUUAUAUCUUAUAUAAGACUUAUGAUUUUUACCAUAUAACUGAAAUUGUUUAAUAUUUACUAAUUUGAUUUUGAGUCGAAUCUUGAUUUUAACCUAUAUUUGAUUUUAACCUAUUUGAUUUUAACCGUUUUUUUAGGCUGAACGAAACGCAUGUAACCUACAAUAACUUUAAAGGACUGGUUUAGACUCAUGGCCUUCGCCAUUAUUGAUGGGUUGUUUCAACUAUAAAGAAUAGGUUAUAUUUGUAUCAACCAAAUCUUAUAGGUUAAGUUGACCAAAUAUUAUUGGUUAAAAGAGGGUCCUGAAGGGGUAAAAUGGGAACUGGGAUUGAUCUAUUUUUAGACUGGGAAAAUGGGAUUUGGGUUGCUGGGACUGGGAUUUGGGGACUGGGAAUGGGAAAUGAAGUCCUCAAAAAUGGGAAUGGGAUUGAGGUAAUGCGAGUCGAUUCCCAAUUUUUCCACGUUUUAAGUAUUUUAAAAUACAAUUUUGAUCCGUUUUUGGUGUCUUUGGUCAUCAUUUUUGUUGUUAACUAUAUUAUUGACAGCACUACCUGCAAACAGACAUACUCUGGCGCCCGCACGCUGAUCAUAUUCAGCAAAUUUUCUCCCAGUACCGCAGACUCGCAUUUUCCAGCGGACGUGCAGUAAAAAAUUGAAAGUUUUGCAUUUUGCAGCAGCUCUGCAUUUUGCACAGAACUGGCCAUUUUGUGUAAGGUGUUCGCUGACAAUACGAGCCCGCACGAGUGGGAGUAAUUUCGCUAAAUUUGGCCAACGUGCCGGAAUUCUGGGUUUUCUGAUUAUGCGUGUCCCCAAGUCAGAUGCACAGCGGAAUAUAUGCCUGGUUUCCAGUAUAUACUUCAUUUGACCCUUAGUAUAUAUCUCAAAGGCAAAGCACAACAAAAAAUACCGUCAUGUCGGACAUGUCGGAAACAAGUUACUUAACCAAAGUGGUCCGAAGUAAAUCCCAUGUCCUCGACCUGUAGUAACGGGCUUAAUUCAGUGGCAAGAGACAGAGCAUUAACCGCUUCUGCCACACGUUGCGCACAUACGGUGGCUUAAAAGGUCCCAAAACUGUUUAUUCUACCGAUAAAUAACGUUUUUGCAUCUACUGAUUUUCAAUCUGAAGCUGCAUUGUCAGGACGUACGUCCGUCGAUGUCGCAAACAGACAGGUGAUGACAUAUUGAUGACGUAUCGAUGUAAUGCAUUGCGAGCAUAGAAAUUGCGAGCUAAAGUCGGUUAUCUACGGUUAGUUCCGCUGUUGCCCAUAAAUGGUUUUGUAAAUAACACGAGCGAAGUGCGAUACGAAGAAUGCCGUAUAACUGCGCGAGACGAUGACGACUUUGUAUCAUAUCUUCGGUUCGGUGCACAAAAGUUUUAGUCAAUAUCAAGCGAGAUCGUAUCAAUAACACGCGAGUACAAUAAAAUGUUUUUUCAAUAUUAACACGAGUACAAUAAUCAAUAACAAUAAUAACUGCGUGAGCGGAUGACGACUUUGUAAAAGUUCAUGUCUUCGACGGGUACUCAAUAAAAUGGUUUUGUCAAUAACACGAGCGGAGUGCAAUACGAAGAAUGCCGUAUAACUGCGCGAGAGGAUGACGACUUUGUAUGUUCAUAUCUUCGGUUCAGUGCACAAUAGUUUUAGUCAUUAUCAACAUUGUAGCGAUUGUAGCCUUUGAAAGACAAAUUCUAAUAAUAAAUAUUAAAGCCCAGCAAAGUGCUUUUAAAAGAGCCAUAAACCUUUAAAUUAAUUUUUUUUUAAUAA